Non-coding RNA from Sporormia fimetaria CBS 119925, 92 nucleotides. The record is from the annotation of a GenBank genome assembly. NCBI's taxonomy places the organism in Eukaryota, Fungi, Ascomycota, Dothideomycetes, Pleosporales, Sporormiaceae.
UCUUCGAUGGUCUAGUGGUCAUGAUUUCCGCUUGUCAACUUCUUAAGAAUUUGCAAGCGCGGGAGACCGGGGUUCGAUUCCCCGUCGGAGAG